This 1443-nucleotide long non-coding RNA is filed under the name Vulpes vulpes (red fox). RNAcentral describes it as "lncRNA (ENSVVUG00000015082.1)". Lineage: Eukaryota; Metazoa; Chordata; Mammalia; Carnivora; Canidae. The record is from RNAcentral.
GGUAUCCUGAGUCCCACUUGAAAGCUGAGGCUUGAAGUGUAACGGCUUCAGGGAAGAAGUCCCCAGGGCUGGUUUCUUUACUGAGACAAGAGUGCUCCAGAAAGGAGGAGCAAGCCACCAAUGGAGCAUGGUAGAGGAGGGCACCACAGAGGAAAGACAUACCACAGAGGGAAAGACUGUACAAUCCUUCCCAAAUUUCCUCUCCCAGAGACUACAGCAUGCGGCAGAACCAGAGUGGACUUUGACAGUGCUGGCUUUGAUUGUGGCCACUGUUACUUGCUUGCUGUGGAAUGAGAGGCCGGCUGCCCUAGCCUUUCUGAGAAUGUCUCGGGAGAAGGACCAUGAAUUAGGAUGUUGUUCUGUGGAGUUGGAAGUGACUCUGGGAUUGCCAAUGGAAGGGAAGCAUCCAGCAGACACAUGGAUGCCACACCCAGGGAGAAGAUGCACAAAGAACAGUGCAGGAGGGGUGGAGAAGGAACCACCCAGAACCAACACCUCUGGGACCCGUGUUUGCUCCUCCUCCCCUCAAUAUUGUGAACUGUCUGAGGACAGGGUCAGGGUUAAACCACUUGUGGUUUAUUCUAGCCCAGGGUUCACUGAAUGAUACAUGAACAAAUGAAGUCUAGAAACCAUGUUCUUUGAGAAACAAUUGAAGAAACUGGAGAUGCUAUCUUGGAGAAGGCUUGGUUCAGAAUACCCUGAAGGGGCUGACCUGUGGAAACAGGACACCAUUGUGGCAAUAUUGGAGGAAAUUAUUUCAGUUCAGCACUGAUGGAUUGGGCCAUCUAGUGAAGCAGGGAGGUCUUCAGCACCGAGAACACGUACACAGAGAUGAAUGCCAUUCUCCCAGGACCAGGGCACAGCAUGUCAGCCUAACCACACCUUAAAUGCACGCAGCUUGGACAGUCUAGGGUUCCAGCUUGUCACCCAGGCAACUCUACCACCUGUCCCAAUUGACUUCUGAAGAGAGGAAUGGAGUCCACCCUUAGCACAUAAAGGUGAGAUCUCUGCAGAUGUGGGCUUCAUUCUGUGGAACUUCUGGAAAGCCAGCUGGUCUAACCUUUCCCUCAUCAUUCUGGGCCCUCAGUAUCCGGUUCCGCCGGAUCUAUCGACCACUCAUCAGUUCCCCAUGCAGCCCUGAUCUCCCUUUGGUGGGGACCCUUUGAGAGUAGGAACUAAGCAUUAUUUGUUCAGGAGGCAGCUAUGUUGCGAUGGUUAAGAGUACAAGUCCCAUAGGCAAACCACUUCAUUCCCUGGUCUGUAAUCUGAGACACUCAUAGGACUAGUGUAAGGAUCAAAGGGUUAAUACACAUAACGUGCUUAAAACAGUUCUAGCAUGGAGUAAGCUCUCAAAAGAAAAUUAGCUACUUUUAUUAGAUCAGUUUCUCCCAUAUCUGGCACAAUACCUGUCAAUAAAGUUCUGCUGAAUAAAAAAAUUAAUCA